GGGUGCAAACAUACCAGCAUUAAAGCACCAGAGCCCAUCAAAACUCCGUAGAAAAGCAUGCUUGGGCGAGAAUAGUACUAGGAUGGGUGACCUCCUGGGAAGUCCUGUACUUCCC
RNAcentral lists this ribosomal RNA (115 nucleotides) under Vitis vinifera (wine grape). Lineage: Eukaryota; Viridiplantae; Streptophyta; Magnoliopsida; Vitales; Vitaceae. The record is from RNAcentral.